Molecule: ribosomal RNA, 253 nt
Filed under: uncultured prokaryote
Description: partial 16S ribosomal RNA
Rfam family: Bacterial small subunit ribosomal RNA
Source: RNAcentral
ACGUAGGUGGCAAGCGUUGUUCGGAAUUAUUGGGCGUAAAGGGCGCGUAGGCGGUUUGUUAAGUCGGCUGUGAAAGCCCGGGGCUCAACUCCGGAAUUGCCUUUAAGACUGCAUCGCUAGAAUUGUGGAGAGGUGAGUGGAAUUCCGAGUGUAGAGGUGAAAUUCGUAGAUAUUCGGAAGAACACCAGUGGCGAAGGCGACUCACUGGACACAUAUUGACGCUGAGGUGCGAAAGCGUGGGGAGCAAACAGGA